UAUGUGGGAGUUGCCACUCCAUAAUUUUUCGUAAAACCUCCUUGACUGAUACAAUCCUAAACAAUGCCACCGGUGUGUGUGCCGAUGAUAGGUGUUCUGCAACAUGCUGCCGUAGAUCGUCAGGGGACGCAACUCCUGUCAUUGGACGAACGCACGCCAACUCGGCCAAAUCUCAUUGACUUCCUGCUCUUUUUUUUUCUUCUUUGCCUGCCGCUCACUACUUAGAACACUCCUAAAGCGAAAUUUCGCAUAGCACAGUGCGGCAUACCUCUUUAACUUUAGCUCAUAUGCCAAUACGAUUAACUCAUAGUAACAGGGCAGCGAGAUGCGAGGCCAGACUGCAGAGGCAAUGCGCUGCCAAUUCGACCGCAGAAAAUUCAGCUAUAGUGCAGUCAUUCUAUUAUGGUAGUCACCAUGCACUAUUGCACUUUUGAAGACCGUUUUUAUCAUAGCACCUCCCACCAGGAGUCUUACCCAUGUUUGUAGGCAUGGCUGUUUCAGUGUCGCCUAGUGGCAGCAAAGCCAAAACCAAAGCUACAACAAGGAUAUUGCCCCAUUCACAUUUGCAACCAUUAACCAGUCAAAAACAAACAAGUCCAGUUGAUAUAAGCUGAGAAUGACCCAACACUCCUGUUCUCAAGUGAUCGCUUUGCCCAGCUUCAAUGAAGCACUGCUCACAUCAGCACCGUGGUCAAUGCAAGAGCUGACCAGCAGUGGUCUUCGCUUAGCUUUUAGUACAGCAUAUGCAGCUAACUGUACUUACACGAACGUGACUUGGUAAUUGCGUUUCCGCAGCAGCACUACAUGGCCUUCGUUCUCUGUAUGCAAAAGCAUGCAUCGGGAAGAAUUUUGUGCUCUGGACCCGCUCUUGGUAGUAGUCGAGGUUCCCAAUAUCCUGUACCACGCUUGGCAUUGCUAAGGUGUCAAGACCUUAUGUACAUGCGGAAGGUCGUCAGGAAGCCAAGUUUUACACCACUGUAAAGGAAGUAAGAUGGAGCAAAAGAGAAUCAAAGCGUGUACCAACUCUUACUGCAGACAAUGAGAAUAGGGCCAGGAUAAUGUAAAUAUUCUAUUCCAAUUCCUUUCAGACACUUUGUCAGCAAUCCAAGGGCCCUGCACUUACAUUAUCACCAGGCCAGUUGUGAGUGGUGGACGACAGAAAAGGAACAGAAUCUUCAGAAAGGUUUGCAGUCCAUUAACAGUUGCAUUAUUAUGACUUGCUGAUGACCGCCUACAGUGUGGCGCUGUCUCCACAGACAUUUGGCGACUCUUGAUGCAGGUGUAUCCCAUUUUCAUCUGCUUCAUGCCCAUGUCAUUGUUGCCAAAGGGUUUUUGAAUGUUCGAAAUUGCUUCUUAUUGGGUAUUGCCAAACUUCGUACAGAACUUCGCACAGAGUCCUUGUACAAUUUGCUCUGCAAUUGUUGCCCAUUUAGAAUCGCAACGAACCCAGGUGACAGUACAGCACAACAGCGGACAGAAGUGAUGCUCACCCCACCGGCAGGCUAAACACAUCACAGACCCUCCUUCCAUGAUGCAAAGUGUUGCCAACCUGAACUCUGUAGUUUUCCCUAAAGUAAAAAAAACAUUGGAUACUUUUUAGGCAGAUCUCGUAUGUAUGCUGGUGGCGACCUAUUGUUUUAAAUUUUGUUGUUCCACCAUACUGCUCUCUGAUAGAUGCACUAAAACAGAUUAAAGAAGGAAAUCUGCAUUCUGGAACUACGUAGAAAUUAUGGAAAUCUCCUGUGGGAUUUUACCUGUCUCUUUAAGCUAGCUGAGCAACUGCAAGUUCCCUUUUGUCAGCAGUCAUUUCCUUCAAGCUGUCAAAACAAGAAUGUACACUGUCACUUGUAAUUUAUUUGGGUUUACCCCGUCUGAACUGCAGUAACAUGGCGACAGCUCUGUCAGCACUCAUGGAAAUGGGCAACAACAAACAGGCAACAACGGCAUGGGAAUGGCAGGACUUGCCUGGUCUGCGAGCAUGUACAUCUGGUACUGACUGUGACAGUACACAUCACCCGGGGAAUGAAAUGGAUGAGACCAAUGCUCAUGGAAGCCCAGCACACCUCACUGGAAGCGCUUUCACACAGUGCAGCUGCAGAUGUCCUCUACCCAACAAACACUUUCCGCUGCCCCAGAGUUUUGUCAGCAUAUUGUUUUAGGUUGUCUGCGUGCAUCUCGCCACUUACGCAACAUUGAGGAUGCAGCUGGGUGCAGCAGUGACUGUGACAGCAUCUGGUGUCGCGUGGUUCCACUAAAGCAUGUGAAACUAUUACCACUAACGACGCCUUCAGAUGGUCACUGUGGUACCCCAAAUCUGAGCAGAUCGAUUCUGGAAGCACUCUGUGUCCAAGUUGUAGAUAUAAUGUCCCAACUGAACAGCUGCAUUUUGGAGCAGGGAAAGGGAUGGAAGCGAAAGCUGAGGGGAACAUAGCCAGCUAGCGCUGCCAUAGGCUGUGUUUAGAUGUGAAAUACCUAAGCGCAGCGUAUGUGAAUGAUAAUCGUCCCUGUGAAUGGAGCAAUGGAGCAAGAGUCCCCCUUUGCUGUUGCAACCAAGGGAAUGAGUGGGGUCAAGUGACCGGAAACCAAGAGUUUCUCGGCUGCUUCUCGGCCCUUUGAUUUGGAGUUGGGCAAAUGGAAAGGACUAUGCUAAUGCAGCCGGAGCACCCCUUUUCGACCAUCUGAGAAAGAUCGCCCUUUAGGAGUGCUUUAGAGUGCUUGAAAACAAUGAUCUGAAGAUGCCAUCAGUACAAAGGCAUUGGUGGUAAUAAAUCUUCAUACGACGUAUACUGGCUGCAGGUUUUUCAACAUGAAAACAUUCGUAACGUGCUCUGGUUGAACACACUAUCCCGAACUGUCACCGUCAGCACCGCUGCUCUCACCUGCACCACCAGCAUUCUGUAAACAAAAAUAUGUAUACUGACAAGCUAAAGCUCUCUAAUGGCGCCAUGCUCAAAGAUGUCCUCUGGACAAUGAAGGAGCCCCCCCCCCCCAAAGUAAGAAAGAAAAAUAAAUGUGUGUACAUUGACACAUAUGAUGUAAAGAUGUUUUCCUAGGAGCAUGCACUUUUCAUGCCAUUUCGCUAUCAAUAAAGCAUGCAUAAUAGCUCAACUCCUGGUACCAUUUGGCCUCUUCGUGCUUAGAGAACCACAUAGCCAUUGCAUGUGUAAGUAUAUGUAGGUGGUGUCUGUCUGUUAGUUUCAGCUAUAAACUUUAGGCCAACCCAUCUUGAAAAUAAUAAGCUUUAUAAUCAAUAGGAAUCUUUCUGAUGGUGUUACAGAGCCAGUUUCUACUUAGUACGUAACAAAUUAAUUUAUUAUCAUUACAAAACAAAUGUAGUCAAUCUGCAUAAAUUGAAACGCCCAAGGAACUAUAGAUUCAUGUCUGAAUUACCUGAUGACCACAUUAUUCAAGCUGAAUGAAAAGCAACUUCAAACACGAAUAAAUGUUUUUUUAUAGAUAGGCACCUAGGUGCAAAGCAAGUUCUUGCCUGCUUUUGCACACCUCUUAAUGAGUUACGGAAAUGCCCCCAAAGUGGAGUACACAAGUGUUCUUAUGUUGUGCAACCAUCAGAAUGCGGCCACUGCGGCCAGGAGUUGAAACCAGGACCAAUUCAUGCAGAAUGCCAUAGCCGAUGGGACAUCACUGCUUUGUGAAAUCAGGUGGAUACAAAACUUUAAAAUACUUUAUGAAAAAGGAGUGAUUAGAGAAAAUCUCACUGAAUACUUCAUCCAGAAGACCAGGACCACUAACAUGAUUCAGGGUGUAGUGCAAUUUUGCAGUAGUUCCUGUAAACACAUCUGGAAUAUGAACUGCUGGCACACUGACUAGUCGCACCUUAUAAACGUACGUUCACCACCUCUUUUUGGGCCACCAUAUUCUGCUUUAGUUGUCCAAAUGUUUGAAUGAAUAAAAUCACUCCUUCAAAUAAGUCUUAAUUAUCAGGAACCUUGAAUUAUUUGAGUUUGAACAACCACACACUGAUUGUACUUGUAUGUCACCGGAUCUUCUGACAAGAGUUUGUGAAGAAACAUUACCACUAUAAGAAAAUAGAGUUGCAACACAGGCUUAGUGGCUAUGACAUAUUGCCACUGGUUCAAUUCCCACCUAUAGUAGCUACAUUCUGAUGGCAAAAGAACACAAAACUGUCCAUGUAUGGAGAUUUCAGAAAACAUCAAUGAUGCCAAAGUGGCCAGAAUUAUCCAGAUGCCCACUAUAAUCGUGCUCUGAGCAUAGGUGUAGAUAUCCAAUUCAAUGCUAGAAAGAAAUAAUACGAUAUUAAAUGGCCUGUUAGUUUAGCAUAUUGUGGCGGAUAUUGCUGUGUGCACACUGAGUGCAAUAUAAUAUUGAUAUGGGCUAUGAGUCUAAAAUAUAGAGCUUGAAUAUUCCGGUCCUCCCAACACUAUUCCAGAGCAAGUCAUGUAAUAUUUACAAUUUUGCACCACCAUGCGGCUGCAGAGAACAAGCACGCACUGCUGCAUAUUUGUAUGUACAUUAGACAACUGCAGGCUGUGGAGUGGCCACAAGUGUUUCUCAGAAGCUGAACCGAGAUGUGUCUAUUUCUAAGGACAGCAGAAAGACGAGGCAGCAACUGAGGCAUUGAUGCAUAGUCUGCAACAAUUCAUAAAAAGGUGCCUCCCUUACUGACCCCAAUCCUGCUACCAAGGAGUACACCAGGUGUACUUCACUAGCCAAGUGAAUGAGAGUUUUCAGGAUUUUUUGUCGGAUGCCCUGACCAGCAAGCAAAAGAAAUAGGAUAGCAGAUCAUUAAACAGGCCUUGCAAGCUGCUCUGAGUGAAGGCACUUACAGCGGACAGCAUUACUGCACUGCUAC
Non-coding RNA from Dermacentor andersoni, 4831 nucleotides. Lineage: Eukaryota; Metazoa; Arthropoda; Arachnida; Ixodida; Ixodidae. The record is from RefSeq and is a predicted model, not a curated record.